RNAcentral lists this ribosomal RNA (511 nucleotides) under uncultured bacterium. RNAcentral describes it as "partial 16S ribosomal RNA". It matches the Rfam family "Bacterial small subunit ribosomal RNA", at positions 28 to 506 of the family's 1533-position model. The record is from RNAcentral.
GAUGAACGCUGGCGGCGUGCCUAAUACAUGCAAGUCGAACGAAACUUCUUUAUCACCGAGUGCUUGCACUCACCGAUAAAGAGUUGAGUGGCGAACGGGUGAGUAACACGUGGGCAACCUGCCCAAAAGAGGGGGAUAACACUUGGAAACAGGUGCUAAUACCGCAUAACCAUAGUUACCGCAUGGUAACUAUGUAAAAGGUGGCUAUACUACCGCUUUUGGAUGGGCCCGCGGCGCAUUAGCUAGUUGGUAGGGUAAAGGCUUACCAAGGCAAUGAUGCGUAGCCGAAUUGAGAGGUUGAUCGGCCACAUUGGGACUGAGACACGGCCCAAACUCCUACGGGAGGCAGCAGUAGGGAAUCUUCCACAAUGGGCGAAAGCCUGAUGGAGCAACGCCGCGUGGGUGAAGAAGGUCUUCGGAUCGUAAAACCCUGUUGUUAGAGAAGAAAGUGCGUGAGAGUAACUGUUCACGUUUCGACGGUAUCUAACCAGAAAACCACUGCUAACUACGU